GACGAACGCUGGCGGCGUGCCUAAUACAUGCAAGUAGAACGCUGAAGCGAGGAGCUUACUCUUCUUGGAUGAGUUGCGCACGGGUGAGUAACGCGUAGGUAACCUGCCUUGUAGCGGGGGAUAACUAUUGGAAACGAUAGCUAAUACCGCAUAACAAUGGAUGACACAUGUCAUUUAUUUGAAAGGGGCAAUUGCUCCACUACAAGAUGGAUCUGCGUUGUAUUAGCUUGGAGGUGAGGUAAUGGCGCACUUAGGCGGCGAUACAUAGCCGCCCGGAGAUGGUGGGCAGCCGCACUGAGACGGGGACACGGCCCAGACGCCUUCGGAAGGGAGCAGUAGGGAAACGGCGGGCAUGGGGGGAACACUGACCGAGAAGCGCCGCGUGAGUAAAGAAGGUUUUCGGGUCGUAAAGGUCGGUUGUAAGUCAGGAACGGGCGUGAGAGUGGAAAGUUCACACUGUGACGGUAGCUGACCAGAAAGGGACGGCUAACUACGUG
This 497-nucleotide ribosomal RNA is filed under the name uncultured bacterium. RNAcentral describes it as "partial 16S ribosomal RNA". It matches the Rfam family "Bacterial small subunit ribosomal RNA", at positions 28 to 507 of the family's 1533-position model. The record is from RNAcentral.